This is a long non-coding RNA of Corvus hawaiiensis (hawaiian crow), 88 nucleotides long. RefSeq lists it as uncharacterized. NCBI's taxonomy places the organism in Eukaryota, Metazoa, Chordata, Aves, Passeriformes, Corvidae. The transcript is spliced from 3 exons. The record is from RefSeq and is a predicted model, not a curated record.
UUUCAAUAGUUAGAUGGGGGGGAUACAGGGAUGGCUUCUCUGAGAAGCAGCCAGAAGCUUCUUCCAUGUCCAGCAGAGCCAAUCCCUG